RNAcentral lists this ribosomal RNA (1171 nucleotides) under human gut metagenome. RNAcentral's name for it is "bacterial LSU rRNA". It matches the Rfam family "Bacterial large subunit ribosomal RNA", at positions 819 to 2082 of the family's 2925-position model. The record is from RNAcentral.
GGAGAAAUUCCAAUCGAACCCGGAGAUAGCUGGUUCUCCCCGAAAUAGCUUUAGGGCUAGCGUUGAUUUAGAUUACCGGAGGUAAAGCACUGAAUGGGCUAGGGGGCGAUAAGCUUACUGAACCCUAUCAAACUCUGAAUGCCGGCUAAUUGAUGAUCAGCAGUCAGACAGUGUGAGAUAAGUUUCAUUGUCAAAAGGGAAACAGCCCAGACCUACAGCUAAGGUCCCAAAUGUAUGCUAAGUGGAAAACGAUGUGGAGUUGCGAAAACAACCAGGAUGUUGGCUUAGAAGCAGCCACUCAUUAAAAGAGUGCGUAAUAGCUCACUGGUCGAGUGACUCUGCGCCGAAAAUUUAACGGGGCUAAACUAUACACCGAAGCUUGGGAUACAUCUAAUGUAUGGUAGGAGAGCGUUCUGUAUGGGGAGAAGUCGUAGCGAAAGCGGCGGUGGACUAUACAGAAGUGAGAAUGCCGGAAUAAGUAGCGAGAAUUAAGUGAGAAUCUUAAUGGCCGAAAGUCUAAGGUUUUUGGAGGAAGGUUCGUCCGCUCCAAGUAAGUCGGGAGCUAAGGUCAGGCCGAAAGGCGUAGCCGAUGCACAUACGGUUGAUAUUCCGUAACCAUCUGUAAUUUAAGCAAAGGGACACUUCAAAAGGGUGUGACCCGGGCGUUGGUUGACCCGGGCGUAAGGGACCGAAAUUAGAGUAGGGAAGCACACUUAGCUGAAGGCGAGAAAAGCUUUGCGUAUAGAAGCAGAUGCCCGUACCGCAAACCGACACAGGUGGACAGGAAGAGAAUUCUAAGGCCAGCGGGAGAAGGGUAGUUAAGGAACUCGGCAAAUUGACUCCGUAACUUCGGAAUAAGGAGUGCUCGAAAGAGCCGCAGAGAAUAGGCCCAGGCGACUGUUUAGCAAAAACACAGGUCUCUGCCAAAUCGAAAGAUGAAGUAUAGGGGCUGACACCUGCCCGGUGCUGGAAGGUUAAGAGGAGAUGUGCAAGCAUUGAAUUGAAGCCCCAGUAAACGGCGGCCGUAACUAUAACGGUCCUAAGGUAGCGAAAUUCCUUGUCAGGUAAGUUCUGACCCGCACGAAAGGCGUAAUGAUUUGGGCACUGUCUCAACAGCCCGCCCGGCGAAAUUGUAGUACCGGUGAAGAUGCCGGUUACCCGCGACAAGACG